Molecule: ribosomal RNA, 227 nt
Filed under: uncultured bacterium
Lineage: Bacteria
Description: partial 16S ribosomal RNA
Rfam family: Bacterial small subunit ribosomal RNA
Source: RNAcentral
UACGUAGGCAGCAAGCGUUGUUCGGAGUUACUGGGCGUAAAGGGUGCGUAGGUGGCAGGGUAAGUUUGAUGUGAAAUCUCCGAGCUCAACUCGGAAACUGCAUUGAAUACUAUCCUGCUUGAGGAUUGGAGGGGAGACUGGAAUUCUCGGUGUAGCAGUGAAAUGCGUAGAUAUCGAGAGGAACACCAGUGGCGAAAGGCGAGUCUCUAGACAACUCCUACAUGAGG